GGUCAAGCUAAUAAGGGCUGAUGGUGGAUACCUAGGCACACAGAGGCGAAGAAGGACGUGGUUACCGACGAAAUGCUCCGGGGAGUUGGAAGCAGACAUUGAUCCGGAGAUGUCCGAAUGGGGCAACCCUAUGUACUACCUGCUGAAUAUAUAGGCAGGAAAGAGCCAACCCAGCGAAUUGAAACAUCUUAGUAGCUGGAGGAAGAGAAAUCAAAAGAGAUUCCCUAAGUAGUGGUGAGCGAACGGGGAAGAGCCUAAACCAGAGGGUUUACCUUCUGGGGUUGUGGGACAGCGAUAUCGAAUCUAGCGGUUAGACGAAGCAGCUAAAUACUGCACCAGAGAAGGUGAAAGUCCUGUAGUCGAAAACUUAAGGAUAGUAGCUGAAUCCCGAGUAGCAUGGGGCACGAGGAAUCCCAUGUGAAUCAGCGAGGACCAUCUCGUAAGGCUAAAUACUACUGUGUGACCGAUAGUGAACCAGUACCGCGAGGGAAAGGUGAAAAGAACCCCGGAAGGGGAGUGAAAUAGAACAUGAAACCAUCAGCUACAAGCAG
Molecule: ribosomal RNA, 551 nt
Filed under: Roholtiella edaphica KZ-5-4-5
Lineage: Bacteria; Bacillati; Cyanobacteriota; Cyanophyceae; Nostocales; Fortieaceae
Description: bacterial LSU rRNA
Rfam family: Bacterial large subunit ribosomal RNA
Source: RNAcentral